Molecule: small RNA, 125 nt
Filed under: Marmota monax (woodchuck)
Lineage: Eukaryota; Metazoa; Chordata; Mammalia; Rodentia; Sciuridae
Source: RNAcentral
GCUGGGCGCAGUGGCGCACGCCUGUAAUCCCAGCAGCUGGGAAGGCUGAGACAGGAGGAUCACGAGUUCAAAGCCAGCCUCAGCCACAGUGAGGUGCUAAGCAACAUAUUGAGACCCUGUCUCUA